CCUACGGGGGGCAGCAGUGAGGAAUAUUGGUCAAUGGACGGAAGUCUGAACCAGCCAUGCCGCGUGCAGGAAGACGGCUCUAUGAGUUGUAAACUGCUUUUGUACAAGGGUAAACCUGAAUACGUGUAUUCAGCUGAAAGUACUUUACGAAUAAGGAUCGGCUAACUCCGUGCGAGCAGCCGCGGUAAUACGGAGGAUCCAAGCGUUAUCCGGAUUUAUUGGGUUUAAAGGGUGCGUAGGCGGGUUGAUAAGUUAGAGGUGAAAUGUUCGAGCUUAACUCGGGAACUGCCUCUAAUACUGUUGGUCUAGAGAGUAGAUGCGGUAGGCGGAAUGUAUGGUGUAGCGGUGAAAUGCUUAGAGAUCAUACAGAACACCGAUUGCGAAGGCAGCUUACCAAUCUAUAUCUGACGUUGAGGCACGAAAGCGUGGGGAGCAAACAGGAUUAGAUACCCCAGUAGUC
RNAcentral lists this ribosomal RNA (460 nucleotides) under uncultured bacterium. RNAcentral describes it as "partial 16S ribosomal RNA". It matches the Rfam family "Bacterial small subunit ribosomal RNA", at positions 338 to 795 of the family's 1533-position model. The record is from RNAcentral.